Molecule: ribosomal RNA, 450 nt
Filed under: uncultured bacterium
Lineage: Bacteria
Description: bacterial SSU rRNA
Rfam family: Bacterial small subunit ribosomal RNA
Source: RNAcentral
GUGGGGAAUUUUGGACAAUGGGCGAAAGCCUGAUCCAGCCAUGCCGCGUGAGUGAAGAAGGCCUUCGGGUUGUAAAGCUCUUUCGGCCGGAACGAAAUCGUCCGGGUUAACACCUCGGACGGAUGACGGUACCGGAACAAGAAGCACCGGCUAACUACGUGCCAGCAGCCGCGGUAAUACGUAGGGUGCAGGCGUUAAUCGGAAUUACUGGGCGUAAAGCGUGCGCAGGCGGCUUCUUAAGUCAGAUGUGAAAUCCCCGAGCUUAACUUGGGAACUGCGUUUGAAACUGGGAAGCUAGAGUGUGGUAGAGGGGGGUGGAAUUCCACGUGUAGCAGUGAAAUGCGUAGAUAUGUGGAGGAACACCGAUGGCGAAGGCAGCCCCCUGGGCCUGCACUGACGCUCAUGCACGAAAGCGUGGGGAGCAAACAGGAUUAGAUACCCCGGUAGUCC